This is a non-coding RNA of Pelobates cultripes (western spadefoot toad), 235 nucleotides long. The record is from the annotation of a GenBank genome assembly. Lineage: Eukaryota; Metazoa; Chordata; Amphibia; Anura; Pelobatidae.
CAUGUAUAGCUUGGAGGAAAGACGAGACAGAGGGGAUAUGAUAGAAACAUUUAAAUACAUGAAGGGAAUCAACACAGUAAAGGAGGAGACUAUAUUUAAAAGAAGAAAAACUACCACAACAAGAGGACAUAGUCUUAAAUUAGAGGGACAAAGGUUUAAAAAUAAUAUCAGGAAGUAUUACUUUACUGAGAGUGUAGUGGAUGCAUGGAAUAGCCUUCCAGCUGAAGUGGUAGAG